GACGAACGCUGGCGGCAGGCCUAACACAUGCAAGUCGAGCGAGCGGCGGACGGGUGAGUAAUGUAUGGGGACUGCCCGAUAGAGGGGGAUAACUACUGGAAACGGUGGCUAAUACCGCAUACUAUCGGAUAACCCAUAUGGGAUUAGCUAGUAGGUGGGGUAAAGGCUCACCUAGGCGACGAUCUCUAGCUGGUCUGAGAGGAUGAUCAGCCACACUGGGACGGAGACACGGCCCAGACUCCAACGGAGGCAGCAGUAGGGAAUAUUGCACAGUGGGCGCAAGCCUGAUGCAGCAAUGCCGCGUAUAUGAAGAAGGACUUAGGGUUUUAAAGUACAUUCAGCGGGGAGGCGUUACCCGCAGAAGAAGCGCCGGCUAACUACGGGCCAGCAGCCGCGGUAAUAC
Molecule: ribosomal RNA, 403 nt
Filed under: uncultured bacterium
Lineage: Bacteria
Description: partial 16S ribosomal RNA
Rfam family: Bacterial small subunit ribosomal RNA
Source: RNAcentral